UACGUAGGGUGCGAGCGUUAAUCGGAAUUACUGGGCGUAAAGCGUGCGCAGGCGGCUUUGUAAGACAGGCGUGAAAUCCCCGGGCUCAACCUGGGAACGGCGCUUGUGACUGCAAGGCUAGAGUACGGCAGAGGGGGGUGGAAGUUCCACGUGUAGCAGUGAAAUGCGUAGAGAUGUGGAGGAACACCGAUGGCGAAGGCAGCCCCCUGGGCCGAUACUGACGCUCAUGCACGAAAGCGUGGGGAGCAAACAGG
Molecule: ribosomal RNA, 254 nt
Filed under: uncultured bacterium
Lineage: Bacteria
Description: partial 16S ribosomal RNA
Rfam family: Bacterial small subunit ribosomal RNA
Source: RNAcentral